Nematostella vectensis (starlet sea anemone) is the source of this 89-nucleotide long non-coding RNA. RefSeq lists it as uncharacterized. The record is from RefSeq and is a predicted model, not a curated record. Lineage: Eukaryota; Metazoa; Cnidaria; Anthozoa; Actiniaria; Edwardsiidae. The transcript is spliced from 2 exons.
GGGUUGUGAAAUAGGUGUAUAUCGGCAAGAGAGGGUUGUGAAAUAGGUGUAUAUCGGCAAAAGAGGGUUGUGAAAUAGGCGUAUAUCGG